This 550-nucleotide ribosomal RNA is filed under the name uncultured bacterium. Its description in RNAcentral is "bacterial SSU rRNA". It matches the Rfam family "Bacterial small subunit ribosomal RNA", at positions 355 to 896 of the family's 1533-position model. The record is from RNAcentral.
UAGGGAAUCUUCGGCAAUGGGGGCAACCCUGACCGAGCAACGCCGCGUGAGUGAAGAAGGUUUUCGGAUCGUAAAGCUCUGUUGUAAGUCAAGAACGAGUGUGAGAGUGGAAAGUUCACACUGUGACGGUAGCUUACCAGAAAGGGACGGCUAACUACGUGCCAGCAGCCGCGGUAAUACGUAGGUCCCGAGCGUUGUCCGGAUUUAUUGGGCGUAAAGCGAGCGCAGGCGGUUUGAUAAGUCUGAAGUUAAAGGCUGUGGCUCAACCAUAGUUCGCUUUGGAAACNGUCAAACUUGAGUGCAGAAGGGGAGAGUGGAAUUCCAUGUGUAGCGGUGAAAUGCGUAGAUAUAUGGAGGAACACCGGUGGCGAAAGCGGCUCUCUGGUCUGUAACUGACGCUGAGGCUCGAAAGCGUGGGGAGCGAACAGGAUUAGAUACCCUGGUAGUCCACGCCGUAAACGAUGAGUGCUAGGUGUUAGACCCUUUCCGGGGUNGNGUGCCGUAGCUAACGCAUUAAGCACUCCGCCUGGGGAGUACGGCCGCAAGGUUG